UCGAUCUUAUUAACAUAAGGAAAAAAAAUUACUGUAAAACAGUAAUGAACCAAACGUUAGAUACAAAAUUGAAUUAACAUAGAGAUAAUUAACAACAACUGAUACAUAAAAAAUAUGUCAUACCUUUUCUUGUACGAUUUUUUGGCAAAGAAAUAGUAAUGAGCCUCAAUUUUUUUUGGGUUUCGUCGAUUUCCAGUUCUUCGGCAAUUGUCGGAAUCAGUUUUUCGUAAGUUACAUGUUCAUUGAUCACGAUUUCAUCGCUCUUACAGCCAACAUAGUUUAUUUCGUUAACCCAAAUACCAGAAUGACGUAACAACA
This 318-nucleotide long non-coding RNA is filed under the name Capsicum annuum. Its description in RNAcentral is "long non-coding RNA (CANN_LNC020815)". The record is from RNAcentral. Lineage: Eukaryota; Viridiplantae; Streptophyta; Magnoliopsida; Solanales; Solanaceae.